Molecule: ribosomal RNA, 896 nt
Filed under: Neottiosporina cylindrica
Lineage: Eukaryota; Fungi; Ascomycota; Dothideomycetes; Pleosporales; Massarinaceae
Description: partial large subunit ribosomal RNA
Rfam family: Eukaryotic large subunit ribosomal RNA
Source: RNAcentral
AAUAAGCGGAGGAAAAGAAACCAACUGGGAUUGCCCUAGUAACGGCGAGUGAAGCGGCAAUAGCUCAAAUUUGAAAUCUGGCUCCUUUUAGGGGUCCGAGUUGUAAUUUGCAGAGGGUGCUUUGGCGUUGGUAGCGGUCUAAGUUCCUUGGAACAGGACAUCGCAGAGGGUGAGAAUCCCGUUUGUGGUCGCAUGCCUUCGCCGUGUAAAGCCCCUUCGACGAGUCGAGUUGUUUGGGAAUGCAGCUCUAAAUGGGAGGUAAAUUUCUUCUAAAGCUAAAUACUGGCCAGAGACCGAUAGCGCACAAGUAGAGUGAUCGAAAGAUGAAAAGCACUUUGGAAAGAGAGUCAAACAGCACGUGAAAUUGUUGAAAGGGAAGCGCUUGCAGCCAGACUUGCCCGUAGUUGCUCACCUAGGCUUUUGCCUGGGGCAUUCUUCUGCGGGCAGGCCAGCAUCAGUUUGGGCGGUCGGAUAAAGGUCUCUGUCAUGUAGCUUCCUUCGGGAAGAACUUAUAGGGGAGACGAAAUGCGACCAGCCUGGACUGAGGUCCGCGCAUCUGCUAGGAUGCUGGCGUAAUGGCUGUAAGCGGCCCGUCUUGAAACACGGACCAAGGAGUCUAACAUCUAUGCGAGUGUUUGGGUGUCAAGCCCGAACGCGUAAUGAAAGUGAACGGAGGUGGGAACCCUUUGGGUGCACCAUCGACCGAUCCUGAUGUCUUCGGAUGGAUUUGAGUAAGAGCAUAGCUGUUGGGACCCGAAAGAUGGUGAACUAUGCUUGAAUAGGGUGAAGCCAGAGGAAACUCUGGUGGAGGCUCGCAGCGGUUCUGACGUGCAAAUCGAUCGUCAAAUUUGGGCAUAGGGGCGAAAGACUAAUCGAACUAUCUAGUAGCUGGUUCU